CGUGAUCAAACAUGUUCACAUGUCUCUUCUCUGUUACUGUCUCACUGCUCUGUGCUGCAGGUCUUGUUGAGGGGAGUGAAGUCACUCAGACACCCACCAUACUCUGGAAACUGAAAGACAGUGAUGCUCUGAUGAACUGCAGUCACACUAAGGGAUCUAGCUACUUCCAGAUGUACUGGUACAGACAGCUUCCAGGAGAGGGAAUUAAGCAGGGCAGUUGUUUAGUAGCAUGGUUCAUCAGAGGCCUGUGGCACUAACAGAAGGUCCUGGAGGAGACGUUCAACUCACCUGCAGCCAUACGAUCCCUAACUACUACGUGAUACUAUGGUACAAACAGUCAGCAGGAGACACUGCUAUGAAACUCAUUGGUUAUGCAAAUUACAAGUUAAUAACCAUGGAGAAAUCAUUUGAAAAGCACUUUAAUGUGAGUGGAGACGGUGGGAAAGAGGCUUAUCUUCAUCUAGUGAGUCUGAGAGGACCUGAACACAGUGCAGUUUAUUACUGUGCAGCCAGCCAACACAGUGAUGUAGCCUUCCUCCUGUUCUCUACUAAAACCCUGUCUGAUGGUAAUAUUAGACCACGGCUCAGAAC
Molecule: long non-coding RNA, 591 nt
Organism: Oncorhynchus tshawytscha (Chinook salmon)
Lineage: Eukaryota; Metazoa; Chordata; Actinopteri; Salmoniformes; Salmonidae
Source: Ensembl